GAUUUUCAGAGUCAGGCACGUUAUUCUGGAAAGGGAGGAACUUCUUUGCAAACUGAUGUGCUCUUGAAGUGCCUCCUGCACUCUGUAUUAGGCUGAACCAGGUCUGCAUUUUGUGACCAAUGUCACCUUCCCCUGCAGAAGCUGACACUGCCCCUCCAGCUCUGGUGCUGUACAUCGUUAUCCUGAACACCACUCAGGACAGAGUUCCUUGACAGGUUAAUGGGGUACAUGGACAGGAGACUUCUGCUCUAUCCCCUGCAGCCCUGACGACUGGAGGUGUUGCCUGGCUCAGCUCCUAGAGGAAGGAAUAACUUGCACUUCUCUCCAGUGAUUUCCUGAUGCUCACUGGUGGAUUGCAGACGUGAUUCACUCCAGCAGGUACUGCUGAGUGCUCCCAGACAUGAGAAGACAGGAGCUGGCUGUAUGCACUGCUGAUCAGAACACUUGCCAUAGGAAUGCAGCAAAGCUUGCCUGCAAGAGAACUGAUUGUUGGCGUGGAAGAAAAGCCCUAAAAUUCUGACAUGCAGUCGAGUUCCUGAAUACAGGCAAGUCUACAAUUGAAACUGAGAUCUGUUUAUCUGGGGAGAUAAAUGCUUCCAAAAUACCCUUUUCUGGAGAGGCCUGACAGGUACAAAAUCAGGGAAAGGAAUGCUCUGGUAUGAGGACAGAGUUCUGCUCAGGCAGUAACUGAUGUUGGACAGCUGUAGGAACUGACCCACUGGGCUCUGUGCUUUGCACCCCAUAACUCCAUACCCAGCUUCGUUUGAUACCAGGCUCGGGCUUCCCAGAGCCAGGCAUCAGCUUUUCCCUCCAAAUGCAGCCAAAGCAGCUGCUGCACUUUGCAGAGAUCCUGCAGUGCUGAGCUGCUCUUCCUUCUGCCUGCUGAGAUCUGCCCAGCUCAGGCAGCUCCUCGGGGGAACAGCCAGUGGGUCAGGCCUUGUUGGGGUUACACACUGUGGAGCUGAGCACAGAGAGGAGAAACAGCACCACCAAAGUGACUGAAAAGUGCUGAAAGGCCUCACAGUAGACAGCCUACACAAUGAAAUGAUCUCCAGUUAGCCCAUGGGCAUCAGUGAGGCCAAUCCUCUGCCCCCUGGGCCAGGCAGGGUGGUUUUAAUGGUAGGCAUAGAUUUAUUGGUUUUUUCUCCUCAUGACCCAGCAUAUUCUGCCAGGGCAAUGCAGACUCCAGAGAAGGAACACAAUUUAUGUGUACAAUUAAACAACAGAGUUUCAGUGCUAUCAGCUGUUUGACGAACUUUAAUAUACAUUUGCUAUAAAACAGGCAGCAAUUACCAGAAUGUGAUACCCAAAUAAAAAUCCAUGAUCCAUUUGCA
Molecule: long non-coding RNA, 1334 nt
Organism: Neopelma chrysocephalum (saffron-crested tyrant-manakin)
Lineage: Eukaryota; Metazoa; Chordata; Aves; Passeriformes; Pipridae
Exons: 3
Source: RefSeq, a predicted model, not a curated record